AUACCAAAAGGUUUCACUGUACUGAAGGAGACACACUCAUGUAUAUGGACGCUGUGGUUAUCGCCGGAAUCGUUACGGUGCUGUUGAUGCUGGGCUUUUUCGUCGGGGUUGCCGUGUUUGUCA
This 123-nucleotide non-coding RNA is filed under the name Marinobacter lutaoensis. RNAcentral describes it as "PhrS". It matches the Rfam family "PhrS", at positions 1 to 119 of the family's 212-position model. The record is from Rfam by way of RNAcentral. Lineage: Bacteria; Pseudomonadati; Pseudomonadota; Gammaproteobacteria; Pseudomonadales; Marinobacteraceae.